Molecule: ribosomal RNA, 548 nt
Filed under: uncultured bacterium
Lineage: Bacteria
Description: bacterial SSU rRNA
Rfam family: Bacterial small subunit ribosomal RNA
Source: RNAcentral
UGGGGAAUAUUGGACAAUGGGCGAAAGCCUGAUCCAGCCAUGCCGCGUGUGUGAAGAAGGCCUUUUGGUUGUAAAGCACUUUAAGUGGGGAGGAAAAGCUUAUGGUUAAUACCCAUAAGCCCUGACGUUACCCACAGAAUAAGCACCGGCUAACUCUGUGCCAGCAGCCGCGGUAAUACAGAGGGUGCAAGCGUUAAUCGGAAUUACUGGGCGUAAAGCGCGCGUAGGUGGUUAUUUAAGUCAGAUGUGAAAGCCCCGGGCUUUACCUGGGAACUGCAUCUGAUACUGGAUAACUAGAGUAGGUGAGAGGGGAGUAGAAUUCCAGGUGUAGCGGUGAAAUGCGUAGAGAUCUGGAGGAAUACCGAUGGCGAAGGCAGCUCCCUGGCAUCAUACUGACACUGAGGUGCGAAAGCGUGGGUAGCAAACAGGAUUAGAUACCCUGGUAGUCCACGCCGUAAACGAUGUCUACCAGUCGUUGGGUCUUUUAAAGACUUAGUGACGCAGUUAACGCAAUAAGUAGACCGCCUGGGGAGUACGGCCGCAAGGUU